Molecule: ribosomal RNA, 253 nt
Filed under: uncultured bacterium
Lineage: Bacteria
Description: partial 16S ribosomal RNA
Rfam family: Bacterial small subunit ribosomal RNA
Source: RNAcentral
UACAGAGGUCUCAAGCGUUGUUCGGAUUCAUUGGGCGUAAAGGGUGUGUAGGUGGCGCGCUAAGUCGGGUGUGAAAUUUCGGAGCUUAACUCCGAAACUGCAUUCGAUACUGGCGUGCUUGAGGACUGGAGAGGAGACUGGAAUUCAUGGUGUAGCAGUGAAAUGCGUAGAGAUCAUGAGGAAGACCAGUGGCGAAGGCGGGUCUCUGGACAGUUCCUGACACUGAGGUGCGAAAGCGUGGGGAGCAAACAGG